Molecule: long non-coding RNA, 234 nt
Filed under: Elaeis guineensis (African oil palm)
Lineage: Eukaryota; Viridiplantae; Streptophyta; Magnoliopsida; Arecales; Arecaceae
Description: long non-coding RNA (EGUI_LNC069180)
Source: RNAcentral
AAACUGGAGGAGAUACCCGAAGUUGAUAAUAAUGAGGUAUCCACACCUAGUGACCAUUACACUCAGCUAAACCUAAAAUUAAUUGUUGAACCCCUUAUGAUACUGGUUGAAUCUCUGCUUAAAAAGAAAGAGGCGAUAAUAGGAGAUCCAGAAACACUUUCUCAGCACAUUGAGUAUAUAGAUCUAGAUCUCUUAAAAUCCUGACUAGUACUUAAGUUAUACCUAGAUCUAAUU